AAGCGCCUUUGGAUUCAAUAUUUACAAAACUACAUUAAUUAACAAAUUUGGUUUGCCUGCUAUUGAUUGCGCGCAACACAUAGCGACAAACCGGAAACCAAAAGGACUAACAGGACACCUAUACACACAUGCGCACAGAUUGUGAAUUAGCAGAACCUCAGGCCUCGGAGACAGUUGCCUGCUCUUCAAGUGAAGAAGUCGUACCAGUGCUUUCAGGCUCCUCAGAAGUGAUGACCAGUUCCUGGGCAGCCUCCUCCACAGCUUCAGCCACUUCUGCAACUGCCUGCACCUCCUGCGUAACCUCGGGAGCUUCGGCCACGACCUCAGGAGCUUCGGCCACGACCUCAGGAGCUUCGGCCACGACCUCCGGAGCUUCAGCCACGACCUCCGGAGCUUCGGCCACGACCUCCGGAGCUUCGGCCACGACCUCCGGAGCUUCGGUCAUGACCUCAACCUCUGCUGCGCUGUCAGCAACUGCAGCCUCAUGUUCCUCAACAUCACUCCUUCCAGUUGGUUCUUCCUCUCCACCUGCAAGAACCAGACACUGUUUACAAGAGCACUAGUUUGGCAGCCACUAGUGUUAAAUAAAAGUCAUCAUUGGUGCAGUCUGCACAAGCAAUUAACAUAUCAUAUAUCAAAGAUUAUCUAGAUCACUUUAAAAAUGCAUUACACAGUCAUAUUAAUAAUGUUAUUAUAAUGUAGCUGGAUUUCCAUCCAAGGCAUGUGAAACAAAACAAUGGAAAGAAGGCUGCUUAAACUUUCCAAUUUUGUGAGAACUAGUCAGAAAAUGGGAUAGAAGUGAUAAAUUGAGAAGCACCUUAUUUUGACCUCAGCUAUACAUUUACAGUCCACCAGGACAUUGGUUCAGUGUAGCAGUAAAUAAACUCUCUGAGGAACAGUCCCUCUCCAUACUCAAGGUUUAUGGGUCAGGCCAUGUUUUGUGGCUUACAACAUCUGACUAACAUUUGUUAUGGAAUGUGGAAAAACAUUUAGCUGACCCUUUGUGAAUAUGGGCUAUGAUAUGAUCACCUCAAAAUUUAGACUUGAUAGAAACAUUAACAACUUAAAGGUUUGGAUCUGAGGCCAGCACGCCAGAUCUAGAAAUCAUUCAGCUUCCUUAAGCUUCCUGAAUCUUGAAUGGAUUCAACUUCCUGAAGCAGACAGAGACAGAGCCCCAGGCUGAGACAGAGCCCCGAGGACUGAGUGGCAGCCUGUGUCUACAACAGCAAACCAAAACACAGCUAAUGACAGCCCUGUGGACGGACCUAGUGCCGGGCCAAGGACAUGCCCCACUAGACUGGACCAAACCAGGCCAGAAACAAGAGGAGACGUAUUCACUACAUGCAAACGGAAAGACUAGUAGGAUGAGAGACAAAGCGGGGGGGAGGGGUUGGGGGCAGAUAGACAGAGACAGACAGGCAGGCAGGCAGGCAGGCAAGCAAGCAGGCAGGCACAGACAGGGUUGUGCUUCUUUAAGCUUCAGCUCAAGUUUUCUUGAUGCCACUGGCAAAGGAAUCGAUUGCCUUAAGACCAUGAGGAAGCGUUGUCACCUGUAUCUAACACACUUGGGUUCACUGCAGGGAUCUGAUGUCUGGUGCAUGUAAUGUUUUAUCAGCCGUGAGAUGGAAGUAAUUUUAAUGAAGAAACAAAAAUAAGGUUGAAACUAAUUUGCUCACUGAGCUCAUUCAGAAUGAAAAAGGUGUCAGACCAGUAGUCACAGCAUUACCCAGAGGCUUAAGCUUAGAAGAGGAUUCUUUUUGCAGUAGAGGAGAAGAGGAAAAGGGAAGAAAGGGACUUUUUCUUGUUCACAUCCAGUGUAGAUCUAGGACGAAUAUCCAUGCGGCCACAGAGGACCUUAGCUUUAGCAUUAGCUGAAAAGAGCAAAGAGAGACGGUUAGAGAAAUAGGAAAUAUUUAUUUACAGUCACUCUCUAAGUUCUUGAAUCUAAGUUCAACUACAGUUAAAAAUGGAUAUACGCUGAGCAAAAUGUGCUGAAGGUCAAUCAAAGGUUAUGAGAGGAAGCCUCUCCAAAGUCAGCAGUAUGCCUCAGUGGUCCGCUACCUGACCUGAGCUCGAAAUGGUGCAAAGCUCUGUUUCUAUUUGACUACUCCUACCAAGGUAGGUGAGGAACACAAUGAGGGACAAAAGGGGUCCAGUGGGUCACAUUAGUGAAUGAAGCCUGAGGUCAACAAGGAGGACACAUGUUCAAACGUCUACGCACACUGUGCUGCACCGGCCACCUUCUUAGGUACUGAGUCCAAAACAGCAACUCUGAAAUUUAUUCUACUUUUAUGGUUUAGUUCUCUAAUUCAUGUUUCCUGAGGCCAGGGAGGGGUUGUAGUCCAGUGGAGCGAAGUAGAGAUGGUUCUAACAUGGUGGUCAGCAUGGGGUUCAAAUCAUUUUUCCCUAACUGUAAAUGUAUUUAUGACUAAUCGUGUGAUGUAUAGAACUUUCCCAAUGACCAGCAACCUGUGAGCUUCGCCCAGCUCUUUAAUGUAACCUUGGCUAACAAAUCUUUGUGUGUGAUUAAAAAUGCAGUGCUUAGAUUAAAUCACAUUAAUACAACUUGUGAUCUCAGACUGAUGAAUACAAGCCAUUUCCCCAUGCUGUCGUUCCUUUGAUCAGGUCAAUGUUUAGUAAGCAUUAGGUGCCAUCAGGCAGUGAAAAUUACUAAUUAUGGUACUCACCAUCUUCAUCAUCCUUGCCUGUAAAUGGAGAAAGAGUGCAUUUAGACAUGUCACACACGACUGCCGUAAGUCUGCCCUUAAUGUGUGUACAUACAUAUACAUGAGGCCGAAUCUCAGUAAAGACAGAGUGGUGGGUCAACUAGGUGAGCGGGGAAUAUGUUGCUGGACCAAUUAUCUUAAACAUCUUCUACUACUACUGUACUACUACUACUACUACUACUACUACUACUACUACUACUACUACUACUACUACUACUACUACUACUACUACUACAAGGAACAUUUAGACGAUUGUAAUGUGAAUAAAACUAUACAAGAAUUUAUGGGGAAAAAAACUGGGUAAACUCUGCCCAAAGGACAGCAUUCACAUUUGUGAAAAUCCUGGGGGACAGACAUGAGUGAGAACUAUCUACUCACAUUUUCUGUUACUUAGUGACUGUGUUGUCACUACUAUUAGUGAUGUCACAGAAACAGGAAACCGAUGACACUGCUGAUUUGACUAAUCAGUCUCUGGAAAACGGUGAACUAACAGCUAUACCAGAUUACAUGACAGCAGAGUUAUGUCAUACAGCUGAAGUUCAAGUUCUUUACACAAUCGUAGGCAAACAUGGCGACUAUGGAGCUAGGUGAACUCUGAACAGUUCUUGAUGUUGUUCUGCUCCUUUCACAGUGCCUGAGGCCAAAUCCCUAGCCUGAUUUAACCUUACAUACAACUUUAAUAAAACCAACCAGCUGU
Molecule: long non-coding RNA, 3423 nt
Organism: Betta splendens (Siamese fighting fish)
Lineage: Eukaryota; Metazoa; Chordata; Actinopteri; Anabantiformes; Osphronemidae
Exons: 2
Source: RefSeq, a predicted model, not a curated record